Molecule: long non-coding RNA, 316 nt
Filed under: Chinchilla lanigera (long-tailed chinchilla)
Lineage: Eukaryota; Metazoa; Chordata; Mammalia; Rodentia; Chinchillidae
Description: lncRNA (ENSCLAG00000023868.1)
Source: RNAcentral
AAAGAAGUCUGGCCUGGAAUCACAAUACUUCAUCUAUCCUGGCUGUGAUUUUGAGGAGCUUCUUGAAGUGGCUGUGCACAGAUCACGCAGGGGAUUACAACCUGAAACAAAUUACUUGUAAAAUGUGUUUAAAGACCAAUCAAACUCUUUGAGGUAUGAAACGACAGAAGGUUGUGUUCCGUAAAUCGAUAUGAAGAUUCCUCAAGGAGAAACUGAAAGUCCGCCUGACAUUUGCAAAGGAUCAGAGAUCCAUUCAGUGAAAGUUCUAGAAGAAGCACCAGAAUCUCCCGGUUCAUGGUCCACGUUAAGCAGAUGA